CCUACGGGCGGCAGCAGUGGGGAAUAUUGGACAAUGGGGGGAACCCUGAUCCAGCCAUGCCGCGUGUGUGAAGAAGGCCCUCGGGUUGUAAAGCACUUUCAGUGAGGAAGAACGCCUGGUGGUUAAUACCCAUCAGGAAAGACAUCACUCACAGAAGAAGCACCGGCUAACUGCGUGCCAGCAGCCGCGGUAAUACGGAGGGUGCGAGCGUUAAUCGGAAUUACUGGGCGUAAAGCGCGCGUAGGUGGCUUGAUAAGCCGGUUGUGAAAGCCCCGGGCUCAACCUGGGAACGGCAUCCGGAACUGUCAAGCUAGAGUGCAGGAGAGGAAGGUAGAAUUCCCGGUGUAGCGGUGAAAUGCGUAGAGAUCGGGAGGAAUACCAGUGGCGAAGGCGGCCUUCUGGACUGACACUGACACUGAGGUGCGAAAGCGUGGGUAGCAAACAGGAUUAGAUACCCUGGUAGUC
Molecule: ribosomal RNA, 465 nt
Filed under: Vreelandella stevensii
Lineage: Bacteria; Pseudomonadati; Pseudomonadota; Gammaproteobacteria; Oceanospirillales; Halomonadaceae
Description: partial 16S ribosomal RNA
Rfam family: Bacterial small subunit ribosomal RNA
Source: RNAcentral